RNAcentral lists this ribosomal RNA (590 nucleotides) under Alternaria triticina. RNAcentral's name for it is "SSU rRNA". It matches the Rfam family "Bacterial small subunit ribosomal RNA", at positions 374 to 938 of the family's 1533-position model. The record is from RNAcentral. Lineage: Eukaryota; Fungi; Ascomycota; Dothideomycetes; Pleosporales; Pleosporaceae.
GCCUAACGGCUGAACCAGCAACUUGCAGGAAUGAGAGUUAAUAUAAUAAGUUAUUAACUUGCUUGACUAGGUCUUAUAAAGUUCUGGAUAAAGCUUAUUAUGAAAACUUUAUAUCCAUAGGUCUCGACCAAAUCUUGUGCCAGCAGUCGCGGUAAGACAAGGGAGACGAGUGUUAUUCAUCUUUAACAGGUAUAUAGGGUACCUAGACGGUGUGCAAUGGCUUACAUAAGUACCUGGUACACUUGAGUUUGAUAUGUGAGAGGAAUAUGUCGGAAUUGUUGGAGGAAAGAUGAAAUUUUUUGAUACCAAUAGGACCGGUAACGGCGAAGGCAAACCUCUAUGUACAUGUACUUGCUAUUUCUUCUAGUAUAAAGAGGAAAAGAGCAAUGUACUAUAACUGACGUUGAGGGACGAAGGCUCAGAUAGUGAAGAGGAUUAGAUACCCCCGUAACCUGGGCAGACAAUGAUGAGUGCCAUAGGUUGGCUUUAAGGCGGAACUAUAAAUGAAAGUGGAAGCACUCCACCUCAAGAGUAAUGUGGCAACGCAGGAACUGAAAUCAUUAGACCGUUUCUGAAACCAGUAGUGAAGU